RNAcentral lists this ribosomal RNA (429 nucleotides) under bacterium. RNAcentral describes it as "partial 16S ribosomal RNA". It matches the Rfam family "Bacterial small subunit ribosomal RNA", at positions 355 to 776 of the family's 1533-position model. The record is from RNAcentral.
UAGGGAAUCUUCCACAAUGGACGCAAGUCUGAUGGAGCAACGCCGCGUGAGUGAAGAAGGUUUUCGGAUCGUAAAGCUCUGUUGUUGGUGAAGAAGGAUAGAGGCAGUAACUGGUCUUUAUUUGACGGUAAUCAACCAGAAAGUCACGGCUAACUACGUGCCAGCAGCCGCGGUAAUACGUAGGUGGCAAGCGUUGUCCGGAUUUAUUGGUCGUAAAGCGAGCGCAGGCGGAAUGAUAAGUAUGAUGUGAAAGCCCACGGCUCAACCGUGGAACUGCAUCGGAAACUGUCAUUCUUGAGUGCAGAAGAGGAGAGUGGAAUUCCAUGUGUAGCGGUGGAAUGCGUAGAUAUAUGGAAGAACACCAGUGGCGAAGGCGGCUCUCUGGUCUGCAACUGACGCUGAGGCUCGAAAGCAUGGGUAGCGAACAGG